This 1457-nucleotide long non-coding RNA is filed under the name Sus scrofa (pig). RNAcentral describes it as "lncRNA (ENSSSCG00050063354.1)". The record is from RNAcentral. Lineage: Eukaryota; Metazoa; Chordata; Mammalia; Artiodactyla; Suidae.
UCAGUCAUAAGGAGAAGACAAACACCUCAGUAUAUAUGGAAACACACACAUCCUGCUCUAACAAACCUGUAGGUUAACAAGCCACCAGGUCAGCCUACAAAAGACCUUAUCCGUUCAGAGAUUCCAAGGCGUUGGGGAGCUGAGUGCCCAGAAAACAGGGGUAGAGGCUACAUACAUCCUUCUUGUGUUGUCAGGAAGUGUGGACAGGGGUUUCCCUUGUGGGGUCACCCGUCCCCUCUGGGGGCUUCCAACUCGUGCCCAGAAUUGUCCCCCUGCAGGAGGAGGAAGCAGGGUCCCUCAGGCAUAUGAACACGACACUGCUCAUUCCCUCACUCUGGCCUCACCCCUCCUGCCUCUCAGCUGGAGCAGAAACCAGUCAAGAAGUACCCUCAGCCCCAGAGAAAACCGUCUGCUGACAGUGUCUCAGGGACAGAAGCGGGACGGUGCAGCCUCCUGAGCCAAGCCCAAGCCUCUGGAAGAAAGCUCCCUUAGAAGUAACAGCCGAGACCAAAAGCCAACACCAUUCAAGUGAGAGGCAGAGAACAAGAUGAGUCUUGUGGUCACAGGAGGUGGGGGAACUGGGGGAAGCUGGUGCAAAGGGACCCCCUCCAGUUAGAGGAUGUCUCAGUCGUAGGGGUGUGACGGCCAGCAGGAUACGUGUAACCUACACGGCCAGACACUGUACAGCAGGUUUAUUCAAGGUCAACCUUAAAAGUUCUCAUCACAAGGGAAAGUUUUUUUUCCUCAGUGUUGAAUUGGGUUUCGCCAGGAUAUGAUGGACGUUCCCUAAAAUCGUUCUAGCCAUCAUCUCACGAUGUAAGUCACAUGGCCAUGAUGGACGCGUGAGGCUAACCCAGUGCUGUGUCUCUUCUACUGCAAACGUGGAAGAGAAGUGGGGGAAUGUAUUCACCAGUACUUUGCAGCUCUGCAGACUCGUGUGACUUUUCUGAGCCAACAGGAGGCCUGAGGGCCUGAAGGCAAAUGGGGGGGUCAAGUGUGUGUAGAAAUAGGGAGUUGCUCUGCUGUGUAACAGGCACUAAAACAGUGCAGGUGGUCAGUUCUAUUCCAAACACCAACUCGUAGAAAAUGAGAUGGGGGAGUUCCCCUUGUGGCUGAAUGAUAAGGAACCUGACGAGGAUCCGUGAGGAUGUGGGUUUGAUCCCCAGCCUCACUCAGUGGGUUAAGGAUCUGGCAUUGCCGAGAGCUGUGGUGUAGGUCACACAUGUGGUGGGAUCUGGGGUGGCUGUGGUGUAGCCUGGCAGCUGUGACUUUUACCCCUCGUCUGGCAACCUCCAUAUGCCGUAGGUGUGGCUGCAAAAAAGCCAUCAAAGGAAGAAAAAAGAGUAAGUAGUCUCAAGUCACCAUGUUGUGUAGUAGGAACGAAACAAGUGCUGAAGGUCAAUUUUGUUCCAAAAACACCCUCACAGAGAAAGAGAUGAGAUCUGUGGUUCCCAGAG